UCUUCCCUCUUUCUUCGUGCCUAAUACAUGCAAGUCGAGCGAACAGACGAGGAGCUUGCUCCUCUGACGUUAGCGGCGGACGGGUGAGUAACACGUGGAUAACCUACCUAUAAGACUGGGAUAACUUCGGGAAACCGGAGCUAAUACCGGAUAAUAUAUUGAACCGCAUGGUUCAAUAGUGAAAGUCGGUUUUGCUGUCACUUAUAGAUGGAUCCGCGCCGCAUUAGCUAGUUGGUAAGGUAACGGCUUACCAAGGCAACGAUGCGUAGCCGACCUGAGAGGGUGAUCGGCCACACUGGAACUGAGACACGGUCCAGACUCCUACGGGAGGCAGCAGUAGGGAAUCUUCCGCAAUGGGCGAAAGCCUGACGGAGCAACGCCGCGUGAGUGAUGAAGGUCUUCGGAUCGUAAAACUCUGUUAUUAGGGAAGAACAAAUGUGUAAGUAACUAUGCACGUCUUGACGGUACCUAAUCAGAAAGCCACGGCUAACUACGUG
This 497-nucleotide ribosomal RNA is filed under the name uncultured bacterium. RNAcentral's name for it is "partial 16S ribosomal RNA". It matches the Rfam family "Bacterial small subunit ribosomal RNA", at positions 36 to 507 of the family's 1533-position model. The record is from RNAcentral.